RNAcentral lists this ribosomal RNA (253 nucleotides) under uncultured bacterium. Its description in RNAcentral is "partial 16S ribosomal RNA". It matches the Rfam family "Bacterial small subunit ribosomal RNA", at positions 524 to 776 of the family's 1533-position model. The record is from RNAcentral.
UACGUAGGGUGCAAGCGUUAAUCGGAAUUACUGGGCGUAAAGCGUGCGCAGGCGGCUUUGCAAGACAGAUGUGAAAUCUCCGGGCUUAACUCGGAACGGUCAAGUGAUACUGUCGGACUAGAGUACAGAAGGGGCAACUGGAAUUCUCGGUGUAGCGGUGAAAUGCGUAGAUAUCGAGAGGAACACCUGCGGCGAAGGCGGGUUGCUGGGCUGAUACUGACGCUGAGGCGCGAAAGCUAGGGGAGCGAACGGG